Molecule: ribosomal RNA, 253 nt
Filed under: uncultured bacterium
Lineage: Bacteria
Description: partial 16S ribosomal RNA
Rfam family: Bacterial small subunit ribosomal RNA
Source: RNAcentral
UACGGGGGGUGCGAGCGUUGUCCGGAAUCACUGGGCGUAAAGGGCGCGUAGGUGGUCUGAUAAGGGUGUGGUGAAAGCCCGGGGCUCAACCCCGGGUCGGCCGUGCCGACUGUUAGACUAGAGUACUGUAGGGGCAGGCGGAAUUCCGGGUGUAGCGGUGGAAUGCGUAGAGAUCCGGAGGAAGACCGGUGGCGAAGGCGGUUCUCUGGGCCUGUACUGACGCUGAGGAGCGAAAGCGUGGGGAGCGAACAGG